Molecule: ribosomal RNA, 520 nt
Filed under: uncultured Entrophospora
Lineage: Eukaryota; Fungi; Glomeromycota; Glomeromycetes; Entrophosporales; Entrophosporaceae
Description: SSU rRNA
Rfam family: Eukaryotic small subunit ribosomal RNA
Source: RNAcentral
AGCAGCCGCGGUAAUUCCAGCUCCAAUAGCGUAUAUUAAAGUUGUUGCAGUUAAAAAGCUCGUAGUUGAAUUUCGGGAUUGACCCAUCGGUCGUGCCUUAAGGGGUAUGAACUGGUGUAGUCAAUUUCUCACCUUCUGGAGAACCGUGAUGUCCUUAAUUGGGUGCCACGAGGAACCAGGACCUUUACUUUGAAAAAAUUAGAGUGUUUAAAGCAGGCAUUUUGCUUGAAUACAUUAGCAUGGAAUAAUAAAAUAGGACGGCAUGAUUCUAUUUUGUUGGUUUCUAGGAUCACCGUAAUGAUUAAUAGGGAUAGUUGGGGGCAUUAGUAUUCAAUUGUCAGAGGUGAAAUUCUUGGAUUUAUUGAAGACUAACUACUGCGAAAGCAUUUGCCAAGGAUGUUUUCAUUAAUCAAGAACGAAAGUUAGGGGAUCGAAGACGAUCAGAUACCGUCGUAGUCUUAACCAUAAACUAUGCCGACUAGGAAUCAGACGAUGUUAAUUUUUUAAUGAUUCGUUUGGC